AUAUAUGUGAUCUGUCGUUGACUGAAACAUCUUUAUGUGACACAUGAUUGCAGAAUCAGAAAUCUGCUCUCCAGGAGAUGAAACUGUGGAAGAAGAGAUGAGCUAUGAGGACAGCCUCAUUUCCAGGGAUGGGGAAAGAAAACCUGCAACUGCCUGCAAAGGGGUUAGAGAGUGCUGGUGUCUUCUCAGGGAAGGCUGAACACCGCCCUUCUCAGGAAAGACUUAGAAUCGGUCCAACCUACAGAAAACCACAAGCAGCCACGGGGCAAGAGUCUUACACCCAACCGAAAAUAAACAGAGUCAGUACCUCGUGGGAGAAUCUCACUUUAGAGGGUCAACAGUGUUACACGUCACAUUUCUGCUUGUGGCAUUUUUUAAAAUCUCUGGAUUAGAGUAGCAUCCCCUGCACAGGAGUCAAAGAUGUGAGGAUUUUUAAAAAGAGAGACAUGAGCUUUG
This is a long non-coding RNA of Symphalangus syndactylus (siamang), 456 nucleotides long. RefSeq lists it as uncharacterized. Lineage: Eukaryota; Metazoa; Chordata; Mammalia; Primates; Hylobatidae. The record is from RefSeq and is a predicted model, not a curated record.